GCGACGUCGCCGUGGUUGUACAGCCUGAGCAGUACGGGCAAGUGCGCGAUGAGUUGAAGGGAAACGAUGGCGCGCUAUCAAUCUUGACCAGAAAUCGUCUUGCGGCUGAAGCUUUUGAGCACACCGCGAGCUACGAUUCGAUGGUGAGUGCGUAUCUCGCGGGCGAGAGUCCCAGAAUAAGUUUAACUAUGGACAGGGUUGCAAACCUGAGAUACGGCGAAAACCCACAUCAAACGGCGACACUUUACCGGACGAUCAAAGGCGGGAUCGCAAACGCCGCGAUCCUGUCCGGAAAGGAGAUGUCUUUCAAUAACUACGUCGACGCUGAUGCUGCCUGGGCACUGGUAAAUGACUUUGACCAGACCGCGUGUGCGAUCAUUAAACAUACAAACCCCGCGGG
RNAcentral lists this unclassified non-coding RNA (400 nucleotides) under uncultured fungus. RNAcentral describes it as "sequence contains ITS1". The record is from RNAcentral. Lineage: Eukaryota; Fungi.